GGCUCUGCUUCAAACUAGAUCCUAACCAAAACCAACUUACUUUAUGAUCUCAAAUGGAAAUAGAUUACAAUAUUGGUGUAACCUAACCUAUAAAAAGUUUUUGGCAAAUAUGGAUCUUUGAAUUGUCAAAAAAAAAUUUUAUUUCCUUGCAAGAUUCUCUUUAUGCUUAAAAAUCACCUUUGGCAUUGAAAUUUAUAUGGCAAAAACUAGAAAGAGAAUUAAAGGUUGCCACCUAA
RNAcentral lists this long non-coding RNA (236 nucleotides) under Phoenix dactylifera (date palm). Its description in RNAcentral is "long non-coding RNA (PDAC_LNC012942)". Lineage: Eukaryota; Viridiplantae; Streptophyta; Magnoliopsida; Arecales; Arecaceae. The record is from RNAcentral.